UCGCGGCUUAUCACCGGCAGUCCCCUUAGAGUGCCCAACUUAAUGAUGGCAACUAAGGGCGAGGGUUGCGCUCGUUGCGGGACUUAACCCAACAUCUCACGACACGAGCUGACGACAGCCAUGCACCACCUGUGACAGUGUCCCGAAGGAAAACCGUGUUUCCACGGCGGUCACUGACAUGUCAAGCCUAGGUAAGGUUCUGCGCGUUGCGUCGAAUUAAACCACAUGCUCCACCGCUUGUGCGGGCCCCCGUCAAUUCCUUUGAGUUUCAGCCUUGCGGCCGUACUCCCCAGGCGGGGUACUUAGUGCGUUAGCGCCGGUUCGGCGGGGGUCAAGACCCACCAAACCUAGUACCCAUCGUUUACGGCGUGGACUAC
Molecule: unclassified non-coding RNA, 377 nt
Filed under: uncultured bacterium
Lineage: Bacteria
Description: contains 16S-23S intergenic spacer region
Source: RNAcentral